AGAGUUUGAUCCUGGCUCAGGAUGAACGCUAGCGGCAGGCCUAACACAUGCAAGUCGAGCGGGGUAGCAAUACCUAGCGGCGGACGGGUGCGUAACGCGUACGGAACUUGCCCUGGAGUGGGGGAUAACAGUUCGAAAGGACUGCUAAUACCGCAUAAUGCAGCGGCUCCAUAAGGAGACAGUUGUUAAAGAUUUAUUGCUUCAGGAGAGUCGUGCGUAAGAUUAGCUAGUUGGCGGGGUAACGGCCCACCAAGGCGACGAUCUUUAGCUGGUCUGAGAGGAUGAUCAGCCACACUGGCACUGAGAUACGGGCCAGACUCCUACGGGAGGCAGCAGUGGGGAAUAUUGGGCAAUGGGCGAAAGCCUGACCCAGCCAUGCCGCGUGCAGGAAGAAGGUCCACUGGAUUGUAAACUGCUUUUCUUCGGGGAUAAGGCGCCAUUAGAUGGCGAUUGAAGGUACCGAGGGAAUAAGCACCGGCAAACUACGUGCCAGCAGCCGCGGUAAUACGUAGGGUGCAAGCGUUGUCCGGAUUUAUUGGGUUUAAAGGGUGCGUAGGCGGUUUAGUAAGUCGUAGAUGAAAUGUUUGGGCUCAACCUAGGCACUGUUUACGAUACUGCUAGACUUGAAUAAGCUUGAGGUGGCUAGAAUGAGUGGUGUAGCGGUGAAAUGCGUAGAGAUCACUCAGAAUACCAAUUGCGAAGGCAGGUCACUGGAGCUAUAUUGACGCUGAGGCACGAAAGCGUGGGGAGCAAACAGGAUUAGAUACCCUGGUAGUCG
This 778-nucleotide ribosomal RNA is filed under the name uncultured bacterium. Its description in RNAcentral is "bacterial SSU rRNA". It matches the Rfam family "Bacterial small subunit ribosomal RNA", at positions 8 to 796 of the family's 1533-position model. The record is from RNAcentral.